UAUACGUUGUAAUCCGAUUCACGCUGCCAUGCCUUCUCUCUACCUACCACUUUGCAUUGGACUGCCAAGGAGUAAUAUCAGUGACGUCGUCCACCAUUUCAGAGUCGCUAUUGAGCCAAUCGAUUUCUUCAUAAUGGAAUUACAGCAGAUGCACCCAUCUUUUACCCAAAGUCACAAAUUCGCAUAGCUGCUCCCUCAGUUUUCGGUUGGUCUAGUUGUAAAGGCUGUUGACACCUCAGAUUCAGCCUUGUAAUUGCCAUUAACUACUGAGAAUGUUGAGAGAGUAUUGGAUGAAGUUUGACCAUAUCUCAUUGCAAAUGCGGUAAUGUGGCAUUACAUGAGAUUGAUGGCAAUGGUGUGCUUUGAAGCUACAAGGAUCCUACGGCUCCUGUCCAAGUUCUAUUGUGACAAUGAAGAUGGGAAUCGAGUGUCACUUAAUAGAAAAGAUUACUGAAAUAAUUGUUGUAGAACCAAUUGCAGAUGAAGAAAUUGGACUUGAGCUGAAUGAAGAGAAUGCAGAGAAGGAAAUCUCAUGAUAGACUCAACCUUAGCGUUAUUUCAAACAUAUAGAUAUGUUAAUACUAUAUGUUUGUUUUAUUUCUCCAAACUUAUUUAUGGGAUUGUAUGUAUAAUCUUAUAUUUCAAUCUCAUUAUGGUUUAUAUUGAC
This is a long non-coding RNA of Manihot esculenta (cassava), 667 nucleotides long. RefSeq lists it as uncharacterized. The transcript has 2 exons. The record is from RefSeq and is a predicted model, not a curated record. NCBI's taxonomy places the organism in Eukaryota, Viridiplantae, Streptophyta, Magnoliopsida, Malpighiales, Euphorbiaceae.